Molecule: ribosomal RNA, 506 nt
Filed under: uncultured bacterium
Lineage: Bacteria
Description: partial 16S ribosomal RNA
Rfam family: Bacterial small subunit ribosomal RNA
Source: RNAcentral
AGUGAACGCUGGCGGUAGGCCUAACACAUGCAAGUCGGACGGCAGCACAGGAGAGCUUGCUCUCUGGGUGGCGAGUGGCGGACGGGUGAGGAAUACAUCGGAAUCUACUCUGUCGUGGGGGAUAACGUAGGGAAACUUACGCUAAUACCGCAUACGACCUACGGGUGAAAGCAGGGGACCUUCGGGCCUUGCGCGAUUGAAUGAGCCGCUGUCGGAUUAGCUAGUUGGCGGGGUAAAGGCCCACCAAGGCGACGAUCCGUAGCUGGUCUGAGAGGAUGAUCAGCCACACUGGAACUGAGACACGGUCCAGACUCCUACGGGAGGCAGCAGUGGGGAAUAUUGGACAAUGGGCGCAAGCCUGAUCCAGCCAUACCGCGUGGGUGAAGAAGGCCUUCGGGUUGUAAAGCCCUUUUGUUGGGAAAGAAAUCCAGCUGGCUAAUACCCGGUUGGGAUGACGGUACCCAAAGAAUAAGCACCGGCUAACUUCGUGCCAGCAGCCGCCGUAA